UAAACUGAACUUUUUCCUUUUAGUUAGCAUUAGGGUUUAAACCCUAAACUGAACUUUUCCUUUCAGUCAGCAUUAGGGUUUUAAACCCUAAACUGAACUCUUUCCCUUUAGUCAGCAUUAGGGUUUAAACCUAAACUGAACUUUCCUUCAGUCAGCAUAGGGUUUUAAACCCUAAACUGAACUCUUUCCCUUUAGUCAGCAUUAGGGGUUUAAACCCUAAACUGAACUUUUUCCUUUAGUCAGCAUUAGGGUUUUAAACCCUAACUGAACAUUUCCUUUCAGUCAGCAUUAGGGUUUUAAACCCUAAACUGAACUUUUUCCUUCCAGUCAG
RNAcentral lists this long non-coding RNA (331 nucleotides) under Nicotiana tabacum (common tobacco). RNAcentral's name for it is "long non-coding RNA (NTAB_LNC007954)". The record is from RNAcentral. Lineage: Eukaryota; Viridiplantae; Streptophyta; Magnoliopsida; Solanales; Solanaceae.